RNAcentral lists this ribosomal RNA (446 nucleotides) under uncultured bacterium. Its description in RNAcentral is "bacterial SSU rRNA". It matches the Rfam family "Bacterial small subunit ribosomal RNA", at positions 356 to 825 of the family's 1533-position model. The record is from RNAcentral.
CGGGAAUUUUGGGCAAUGGGCGAAAGCCUGACCCAGCAACGCCGCGUGAAGGAUGAAGUAUUUCGGUAUGUAAACUUCGAAAGAAUAGGAAGAAUAAAUGACGGUACUAUUUAUAAGGUCCGGCUAACUACGUGCCAGCAGCCGCGGUAAUACGUAGGGACCAAGCGUUGUUCGGAUUUACUGGGCGUAAAGGGCGCGUAGGCGGCAAUUCAAGUCAUCUGUGAAAUCUCCGGGCUUAACUCGGAACGGUCAGAUGAUACUGCUUUGCUAGAGUGCAGAAGGGGCAAUCGGAAUUCUUGGUGUAGCGGUGAAAUGCGUAGAUAUCAAGAGGAACACCUGAGGUGAAGACGGGUUGCUGGGCUGACACUGACGCUGAGGCGCGAAAGCCAGGGGAGCAAACGGGAUUAGAUACCCCCGUAGUCCCUGAGCGGGCUGGCAAGGCGCAU